This 467-nucleotide ribosomal RNA is filed under the name uncultured bacterium. Its description in RNAcentral is "bacterial SSU rRNA". It matches the Rfam family "Bacterial small subunit ribosomal RNA", at positions 355 to 825 of the family's 1533-position model. The record is from RNAcentral.
UAAGGAAUAUUGGUCAAUGCCCGGAAGGGUGAACCAGCCAUCCCGCGUGAAGGAUGAAGGGGCUCUGCCUUGUAAACUUCUUUUGAAUGGGACGAAAAAGCCUCACUUGUGAGGAACUGACGGUACCAUUAGAAUAAGCACCGGCUAACUCCGUGCCAGCAGCCGCGGUAAUACGGAGGGUGCGAGCGUUAUCCGGAAUCACUGGGUUUAAAGGGUGCGUAGGCGGCUGUAUAAGUCAGUGGUGAAAGGCUGUGGCUUAACCAUGGGAUUGCCAUUGAUACUGUACGGCUUGAAUUAGGAUGAGGUUGGCGGAAUGUGACAUGUAGCGGUGAAAUGCGUAGAUAUCUGGAGGAACACCGGUGGCGAAGGCGGCAUCCUGGACCAAUACUGACACUGAGGAGCGAAAGCCAGGGGAGCAAACGGGAUUAGAUACCCCGGUAGUCCCUGAGCGGGCUGGCAAGGCGCAU